This is a long non-coding RNA of Daphnia pulicaria, 426 nucleotides long. RefSeq lists it as uncharacterized. NCBI's taxonomy places the organism in Eukaryota, Metazoa, Arthropoda, Branchiopoda, Diplostraca, Daphniidae. The transcript is spliced from 4 exons. The record is from RefSeq and is a predicted model, not a curated record.
UUACUAAAUUCAGAACCAUUCACCCAUAUGAUAAAGCAUCAGUAAAUUAACCUCAACCUGAGGAGUUAGGCUGUUGGUUGCUGUGAUUUCCAUUUUUGCGGUUUUUUAUCAUGAAAACUUCAGUGUGCUUGUUAGUAUCGGCACAUAAUAGAUCCUUAAGCCAAUGCUGACCUUUGUCCAUGAAGGAAGAGGGACAUCCAGCAACAUUCUGCAACAUCCUUAAUCCUUAUCUUCCCGACGUACGCUCAUUUAGCUUCACUGCUUUUGCUGCUACAACUUGUCUUACUUCACCGACGAGUUGGAACACUUCAGUGGUCGCUACCCUUUGCUGUUACACACCUGCAGUUACUCACCACGGGAUUAUGCCCAGGUAAUGCAGAGGAAAUGUCGAGAAGAUGGACACCAUAAAGUCGCCGGUAUCUCCAA